This 499-nucleotide ribosomal RNA is filed under the name uncultured Glomeromycotina. Its description in RNAcentral is "partial small subunit ribosomal RNA". It matches the Rfam family "Eukaryotic small subunit ribosomal RNA", at positions 591 to 1092 of the family's 1831-position model. The record is from RNAcentral. Lineage: Eukaryota; Fungi; Glomeromycota.
CCAAUAGCGUAUAUUAAAGUUGUUGCAGUUAAAAAGCUCGUAGUUGAAUUUCGGGAUUAGUACGUUGGUCGUGCCUUAGGUACGUACUGGUGUUACUGGUUCCUACCUUCUGACGAACCAUCAUGUCAUUAAUUUGGUGUGGCGGGGAAUCAGGACUGUUACUUUGAAAAAAUUAGAGUGUUUAAAGCAGGCUCGCGCUUGAAUACAUUAGCAUGGAAUAAUGAAAUAGGACGUUGACCCUAUUUUGUUGGUUUCUAGGAUUGACGUAAUGAUUAAUAGGGAUAGUUGGGGGCAUUAGUAUUCAAUUGUCAGAGGUGAAAUUCUUGGAUUUAUUGAAGACUAACUACUGCGAAAGCAUUUGCCAAGGAUGUUUUCAUUAAUCAAGAACGAAAGUUAGGGGAUCGAAGACGAUCAGAUACCGUCGUAGUCUUAACCAUAAACUAUGUCGACUAGGGAUCGGAUGAUGUUAAUUUUUUAAUGACUCAUUCGGCGCCUUACG